Molecule: ribosomal RNA, 433 nt
Filed under: uncultured bacterium
Lineage: Bacteria
Description: partial 16S ribosomal RNA
Rfam family: Bacterial small subunit ribosomal RNA
Source: RNAcentral
AACGAACGCUGGCGGCAUGCCUAACACAUGCAAGUCGAACGAGACCUUCGGGUCUAGUGGCGCACGGGUGCGUAACGCGUGGGAACCUGCCCUUAGGUUCGGAAUAACUCCCCGAAAGGGAUGCUAAUACCGGAUAAUGUCUUCGGACCAAGGAUUUAUCGCCUUUGGAUGGGCCCGCGUUGGAUUAGCUAGUUGGUAGGGUAAAAGCCUACCAAGGCGAGGAUGCAUAGCUGGUCUGAGAGGAUGAUCAGCCACAAUGGGACUGCGACCCGGCCCAGACUCCGACGGGAGGCAGCAGUGGGGAAUAUUGGACAAUGGGCGAAAGCCUGAUCACGCAAUGCCGCGUGAGUGAUGAAGGCCUUAGGGUUGUAAAGCUCUUUUACCCGGGAUGAUAAUGACAGUACCGGGAGAAUAAGCCCCGGCUAACUACGUG